CCUACGGGUGGCAGCAGUAGGGAAUAUUGCUCAAUGGGGGAAACCCUGAAGCAGCAACGCCGCGUGGAGGAUGAAGGUUUUCGGAUUGUAAACUCCUUUUGUUAGAGAAGAUAAUGACGGUAUCUAACGAAUAAGCACCGGCUAACUCCGUGCCAGCAGCCUCGGUAAUACGGAGGGUGCAAGCGUUACUCGGAAUCACUGGGCGUAAAGAGCGCGUAGGCGGGAUAGCAAGUCAGAUGGGAAAUCCUAGGGCUUAACCAUAGAACAGCAGUUGAAACUGUUAUUCUAGAGUAUGGGAGAGGUAGGUGGAAUUCUUGGUGUAGGGGUAAAAUCCGUAGAGAUCGAGAGGAAUACUCAUUGCGAAGGCGACCUGCUAGAACAUAACUGACGCUGAUGCGCGAAAGCGUGGGGAGCAAACAGGAUUAGAUACCCCAGUAGUC
This 440-nucleotide ribosomal RNA is filed under the name uncultured bacterium. RNAcentral's name for it is "partial 16S ribosomal RNA". It matches the Rfam family "Bacterial small subunit ribosomal RNA", at positions 338 to 795 of the family's 1533-position model. The record is from RNAcentral.